UACGUAGGGUGCAAGCGUUAUCCGGAAUUAUUGGGCGUAAAGAGCUCGUAGGCGGUUUGUCGCGUCUGCUGUGAAAACUGGGGGCUCAACCCCCAGCCUGCAGUGGGUACGGGCAGGCUAGAGUGCGGUAGGGGAGAUUGGAAUUCCUGGUGUAGCGGUGGAAUGCGCAGAUAUCAGGAGGAACACCGGUGGCGAAGGCGGGUCUCUGGGCCGUUACUGACGCUGAGGAGCGAAAGCGUGGGGAGCGAACAGG
RNAcentral lists this ribosomal RNA (253 nucleotides) under uncultured bacterium. RNAcentral describes it as "partial 16S ribosomal RNA". It matches the Rfam family "Bacterial small subunit ribosomal RNA", at positions 524 to 776 of the family's 1533-position model. The record is from RNAcentral.